CGUAGGGUGCGAGCGUUAAUCGGAAUUACUGGGCGUAAGGCGUGCGACGAGGCGGUUAGUAAGACAGGCGUGAAAUCCCCGGGCUCAACCUGGGAACUGCGCUUGUGACUGCUAAGCUAGAGUACGGCAGAGGGGGGUGGAAUUCCACGUGUAGCAGUGAAAUGCGUAGAGAUGUGGAGGAACACCAAUGGCGAAGGCAGCCCCCUGGGUCGAUACUGACGCUAAUGCACGAAAGCGUGGGUAGCAAACAGGAUUAGAUACCCUGGUAGUCCACGCCCUAAACGAUGUCAACUAGGUGUUGGGAGGGUAAAACCUUUUAGUACCGGAGCUAACGCGUGAAGUUGACCGCCUGGGGAGUACGGCCGCAAGGUUA
This 373-nucleotide ribosomal RNA is filed under the name uncultured organism. RNAcentral's name for it is "bacterial SSU rRNA". It matches the Rfam family "Bacterial small subunit ribosomal RNA", at positions 526 to 896 of the family's 1533-position model. The record is from RNAcentral.